CCAAUAGCGUAUAUUAAAGUUGCUGCAGUUAAAAAGCUCGUAGUUGAAUUUCGGGACUGAUAUGUCGGUCGUGCCUCGGUACGUACUGGUAUUUUUGGUUUCUCCCUUCUGACGAACCUUGAUGUCAUUAAGUUGGUGUCUUGGGAAAUCAGGACUGUUACUUUGAAAAAAUUAGAGUGUUUAAAGCAGGCUCACGCUUGAAUACAUUAGCAUGGAAUAGUGAAAUAGGACGUUUGAUUCUAUUUUGUUGGUUUCUAGGAUCGACGUAAUGAUUAAUAGGGAUAGUUGGGGGCAUUAGUAUUCAAUUGUCAGAGGUGAAAUUCUUGGAUUUAUUGAAGACUAACUACUGCGAAAGCAUUUGCCAAGGAUGUUUUCAUUAAUCAAGAACGAAAGUUAGGGGAUCGAAGACGAUCAGAUACCGUCGUAGUCUUAACCAUAAACUAUGCCGACUAGGGAUCGGAUGAUGUUAAUUUUUUAAUGACUCAUUCGGCGCCUUACG
Molecule: ribosomal RNA, 499 nt
Filed under: uncultured Glomeromycotina
Lineage: Eukaryota; Fungi; Glomeromycota
Description: partial small subunit ribosomal RNA
Rfam family: Eukaryotic small subunit ribosomal RNA
Source: RNAcentral